UGGGGACUAAUAGCAGAAUUUAUCCUUUAAAUUUCCUGUGGCGUAGGGAAGUGGAGACUUUUGGUUGGAAUUGGAAGACUUGAUGAGCCGCCACGCCAUUGCUAUCUGGUUCCCAGUUUCCUGGCUACUUCCAAGUAAUUAUGUGAAUUAAUAAAUUACAUGACUAACUUAUUCAUAAAAGUCAACAAUUUAAUUUUGAAAUAAGUAAAUUUAUAAAGAAUUAGAUGAUCUCACAUGGUGAAAAAAAUCUGGCACCAGGACAUGAGGAUGCAGCUUCAAGGGUUACCCCACCGAAGCAGAAAGGAUAGACGAGGAGUGUGGCCAGAAGGAAUGGACGUAGGUUCCCCCAUCCAUAUGGCCAGAAGGAUGCAGCUUCAAGUUGCCAAAGGAAACAUAUCGGGAAUGAAGGAUCUGCAUUAAUAUAAGAGCUAUAUGAGGAACAUUGGCUCUUAAUUUUUAUCUCAAUUUGUGACUGCAAAUACAUGACUGGAAGUGAUCAACUCCUCCAUGUCUGCAUGGCAGUGGUGUAGUUUCUUCGACUAAUGUUGGCAGGAUACUCAAAUUGUGAAAGUGUGUUACAUUGGCAGUGUCGUGAAAGCCUUUCAACAAAUGGAAUUGGACAAGCAGCAAGUAAAGUAGGCUAACUCCAUCUAUGGGUUUGCUAAUCAAAGCAAUGAGGUGAAAGGGUCGAUCAUGCUUCUAGCCACUCUUGGGAAGGAGAACCAAACAUCAGCAUACAAGGCUACUUUUAGGCGUCCACCGCUGAAAGUGGCCCUAACAACCUUCUGCGUGCAGGCAAAAUUCCUCACCUCAAAAAGGGGAACCAGAAGGGUAGAGGCAGAUUAGCAUGUAGCAAGGCAGUGCCACAUGGUGUCAUUACAAAUGGCAUGAACCCAAGCAAACAAGGAACCAUUUGGUGCCCGCCUUGAGAGACACACAAUCAACAACUUUCAAGGAGAAAUUAGGUGUUCAAUACAGAGCCAAGAGGGAAAAUUGAAAACGUCUACUUACAACCAGGUUUGUCAAUUAUUAAUAUUUUUUCAUGGAGUUAUUACUUUUUGUCGAAACUUUUUUUUUUGAAAAACAAAAAUAUGUUAUCGACUUUAAAAACAAAAAUUGGAGUCGCCAUCGAUCCGUGAUUUAGGUGUGACCGGCUCACCUUUAAAACAAAUUUGGUCUACGAAAUUUGAGAAAACGGGUUCGGAAGUCAGUUACGCACGAGGAAGGGUUAGCACCCUCGUAACGCCCAAAAAUCGGUACCAAAUUGAUUAUCUAAUGUCUUGGUGUCGAAAAUUAAAAAGAUUUUGUUAAACUCAAAUAUUGAAAUCUAAAAAGGAUAAUCAAUUAUUCAAGUCAUGCGAAGAAAUUGAGACCCAAUACGUUAGGGUACAAUUUCUCAAAAUCCCCAAAUUUUGAAUAUUACUUUUCAAUUAAAUUUUUUAAAGAAAAUCUUCAUUUCGAGAAAAUAAUGUCAUGCCCAAUGCGUUAGGACAUAGCAUAUUGAAUUCCCGAAAAUGAUUUUUGUUUAUAUUUUAAAUAACGA
RNAcentral lists this long non-coding RNA (1543 nucleotides) under Gossypium barbadense (sea-island cotton). RNAcentral describes it as "long non-coding RNA (GBAR_LNC016851)". Lineage: Eukaryota; Viridiplantae; Streptophyta; Magnoliopsida; Malvales; Malvaceae. The record is from RNAcentral.